GGGAGAAUUUGAAAGGCUUUCUAGGGUCUGAGUGUCCUUUGCUUGUUUGGAGGCAGAACUCUGGCCCUAGAAACAUGGGUCUUGAAUGUGGGAAUUGCAGUUUUCCAGAAUCAGCCUAGCAGGGAGUUUGGCUUCUGCAAAGCUGAGCUUCAAGUCGAGACUGAAGUGUGUCAGUGUGGUGGUAUCUCUGGGGGUGGGCUGUGCUCAUCCCUGGGCUCAUUCUCUCCAGAGACGUCCGCAAGCUCCUCCUCCCCUCUCCAGCUGAGCCAAUCGAUGCACUUCAGGACACACAUUAGAAGGAACCUCGGAAAAACCAGCAAUGGGGGAUAAUGGGUGGCUUGUCCAUCGUUUCAAGCUGAGUCAUGGCGAGGAAGGCAGCUGAUUCAAAGCUGUCUCUCGUGACUUCAAUCGUGGGGUCACUGAUAUCAAAAAGUGGGGUGGUGUCAGGUCGGGUGUGUGCCAUGGGCCACACUUGAGAUAGUCAUAGCCCCGCCUGUAGAGCUUCUCAGUGUGCUCAGAGAGAGAGGAGUGAGAAAGAUCCUGCUGGCACCUGCCCCAGGCCAGGGCUGACCAAGGCUGUGGCUGUGGGAGGUGGAGGCAGGGCUGAGAGCUGCUCCUAGGGUGCAUGCUCAUGCCAGCCAGACGGCCUGAGGGUACCAUGACAAAUCCUGCUCAGCUCCUGAGCCACAUCUCCAGGCUUAGAUAUGUGACAGGAGAUGGAUUUGUGGAGGAAACCCGGGGAUAUUCCGAGAUAUGUGCAUUUGGGUACAUGGUGCCUCUGAGUCUUGUGGCCCCAAAGUGCCUCCACGCAGAGAGGUGACAAGGUACUGCCAUCACAUCUAUGGUUCACUUCCUGCAUGAUGGGGGGUCCAAUGGCUCGAGAGUUUGGCAGGCUGUCUAGGGCCUGAGUGCCCUUGGUUUGUGUAGAGGCACAAGAGUGGACCCAGUAGUACCUGGCUUGAAUCAUGGACAUGCAGGUUUUAAGAAUCAGGCUGGUGUGGCAGUUGGCUUCUGGAGAGCUGGGCAUGAUUAUAUUCAUGACUGUGGAGUGUCAGUGCAGUGGUAUUUGGGGGGGCAGACUGAGCCUGUCCCUAUGCUCCUUCUCUCCAGAGAUCUUCAUAUUGUCUUCCUCCCGUGCUGGACACGUGUGCCAAGGAACCUACCUAAAUCCAGGUAAGAGUGAAUAACAGCUGGGGGGUCCUGGAUCGCAGGCCAGGUGUCAUGUCCGAAAGGUGUUGAUUGAUUGGCAUCCAGUUAUCAUGACAACAAUCCUGGUGUCUGAUUUGAAGGAACAGGAUGGCGUCCUGAGGGGUGAGUGUCCUGGCCGAUGUUGAAAUAGUCACACCCCCGCCCAUGGUGCUUGUCAGAACUCUCAGAGGGAGAGGAGUGAGGGAGUCACACUGGCACAUGCCCCAGGGCAGUGCAGACCAGGUUUCUGCUAUGGGAGGCAGAGGAAGAGUUGAGAGUUGCUGUUAUGGUUCAUGUCCCCCAGAUGGCGCCCAAGUGCCAACGAAGCAGCCCUGCAUCUCCAGGCUCAGAACAGGAAUGGAGAUGCAUCAAGCGAAUCCCAAGGAGGUGCCCAGAGCUUUGUUUUGUGUACAUGAUGCCUCUGACCCUGUGGCCCAAUUUGCCUCCACUCAUGGAGGGGACACGCAUCUGCCAUCACAUGUCCAAAUCUAUUCCUGCCGGUCGGCAGACCCAAAGAUGUGAGAGUGUGACAGGCUGUCUGGAAUCUGUGUCCUUUGCUUAUUUGUAGGCAGAGCUCUGUCCCCAGAAACACCAGUCUUGAAUGUGGAAAUUGCAGUUGUCCAGAAUCAGCCUGACAGGGAGUUUGGCCUCUGGAAGGCAGAAUAUCAGGUCGUGAAUGCAGUGUGCCAGUGCGGUGAUAGCAUUGGGGGCAGGCUCAGCUCAUCCCUGGGCUCUUUCUCUCCAGAGAUGUCCACAGCCUCAUCCUUCCCUCUCCACCUGAGCCCACUGAGGACACUUCAGGAACCUCGCUAAAACCAGGAAAGGGGAGAAGGGGCGGUUUGUCCAUCAUCUCAAGCUGAUUCAUGGGGAGGAAGGUGGCUGAUUCAAAUUCAGCUCUCAUGACUUAAAUUGUGGGGUGGCUGAUAUCAAAUGCAUUGUAGUGUUGGGUGGGUUGGGUGCCCUGAUCCCCCAUGUCCUAGGCAUAGCCCUGCCUGUGGUACUUUUCAGUGUGCUCAGCAGAAGGCCCGCUGACAUGUAACCCGGGGCACUGCAGAUCAUGUUUCUACUCUGGGAAGCCUAAAAAGGGCUGAGAGUUGCUAUUAUGACUCAUGUCCACCAGGCGGCAUCAAAGCUCCAGCCUCUGCCCUCCUGCAUCCUCAGGCUCAAACCAGGAUUAGAGAUCCAUGCACACAAGCUCAAGGAGGUACCCAGAGCUCGUGUUUGUGUACAUGUUGCCUCUGACUGUGUGGCCCAUGUUGCCGCUCCUGAGGGGACACGCAUCUGCCAUCACAUGUCCAAUGCAAUUUCUGUCAGGUCAGAAGACUCAAAUAUCGUAGUUUGACAGGCUGUCUGGUGUCUGAGUGUCCUUUGCUUGUUUGGAGGCAGAGCUCUGGCCCCAGAGACAACGGUCUUGAUUGUGGAUUGAGCGGAUUUCCAGAAAUAUCAUGAAAUGGAAUGUUGCUUCUGGAAUGCUGGGCUUCCAGUGCUGUAGUCCAGGAUUUCAUUGUGAUGGUAAUUGGGGGGCAGCCUGAGUCUAUCCCUGUGCUUCUUUUCACCACAGAUCUAUGUCCUCCUCCUCCCUGCUCCACCUCAGCCUCUUCCUCCCUGCUGGAUACCUGUGCCAAGGAACCUACUAAAUCCAGUGAUCUCUGCAUCCUCCUCCUCCCUGUUGGACACCUGUGCCAAGGAACCUACCUAAAUCCAGAGUCCUCUGCAUCCUCCUCCUCCUUUCUCACCCCGAGCAUCUUCCUUGUCUGCUGGACACCUGUGCCAAGGAACCUACCUCAAUCCAGGGGAAACGUCCAAAAAGCAGUGGCUCAGGGGAAAAAAGGAAAAGGAAGUCUGUGGAGAAAUUUCAGAGAUAGAUCCCAGGGAUGAGAACAGCCUGGCCAGCCACAAACCCCCUUCUACAAUGUCCAGUCAUGUCCUAAAGCACUGCUUUCCAGAUGCCACACUGGACAAAAGUUGACUCUCAAGAACUGCAUGCCCAAGUUUCAAGCUAAAUGCUGUGUGAUUCAGAGCUAUUCCAUCACAGGAUCCAAAGGCAUUCAGACCACGGAGAGCCAGGCACAUCGUCUCCUCUUAGGGCUCCAUAACCAGUAUGGAAACGACCUCUAGCCAUGAAGGAGAAGAGCUCUGUAGCCACUAUCAGGAGAUGCAGCGUCCACCCAAGAGUCAGAAGAAGCCCAUAACACACCUUCCAUUGCUGGGCUUAUCCUGGGGUUCCACCAGUGGCAUUGGCAACCCCAUCUCUGCGUCUGGAAUUACCAACACCAAGCAGCAGAUGGGCAUGUCAGGGCUCCUUGUCCUCUAGCGUCCAUUACCUAUACCAGCCCUUCAGAUCCCAUUCUUCUGCAUCCUGACUCCUCCCAGUCUGUUUGCACUGCUCCUGAGCACCUGUGAGCCUGAUUUGGUCCUCUCCUCUUCAUCUCUCUCUCUCUCUGUCAGAAAAAUCAAGGGCUACCUUAGGGCUCUGUGACCAGCUCAGGUGAAAGGAAAAUGCAGAACUUUUCAGAGAUCCCUUAAGAGAUUGGUCUCUGGGAUGUACCCAGCCUGCUCUCCAAGGGACCUCUGCUUUUUCACUCUCCACUGAUGAACACCAGCCCAGCCAUCCUGAGCCUGGAGAGGCAGUUGCAUGCUGUAAGCAAGCUCUCCCGGCGGGGCACCUCCUGGGGGAUCCACCAUCCUCAUUUCCAUCCAUGUCUGUGAGCCUAGAAGGGCAAUACAAGCUUCUGCUGAGCUUAGAUGGUGCUUUUUGGCGCCCUCUGGUGGACAUUCUCUCUAAUGACAACUCAGAGCCCUGCCUCCUGUCUCCUGCCCAAACCCACCCCUGGGCCUGUGCAUCAGAGAGAGGAUUUAAUUCCUCCGCUCACUCUGAUUACAACCAAGAGCCUUUAAGAGGGUGUGUUUUUCCCUCAAUGCCAGCCAUGGCACCCACUCCUCCCAAUCCUUCACUAUCCUCCUUAAUCAGUGAGCUGAGCCUACUCCAGAAUCGGGUAACCGUUUUUACAUUAGUCAGCUUCCCCUCCUGAUUUAUGUAACACUGACUGGUUGCAGUCAGUGUUUUCCUCUCAGGGCUUAACAAGGGGAGGGAGAGGCUCAGAUGGAAGGAAAAGAAAAAACUUUUCAGAGAGAUACGUCUGUGCGUUGGAUGCAUCCUGCCCAGCAGGGAACCUCUGCAUUUACACUCUCCGUGCACGACCAACAGCAGCCCGGCUUUCUGAACCCCCAAAACCAUACAAGUCUGAUCCUAGAACAUUGCCUGCCCAAUAUUCAAGCCGACUCCACUUGGGUUCACACAUCUGCCUCUGUAGAAUCCAGAGCUCUUGACAGCCUGCCCAACUGUCUGAAAGUGACCCACAGAAGUGAAGGCAGAAAAGUGUCCUUUCUGUCAGGUCAGGUCAUUUAGAUUUGAGUGUCUGAGGUGAUCCAUAAACUAGCCCUCCUCUGAAGGCACGUGUCAGGAAAUCCACCACCACCACCAUCACCACCACCACCACCAAUCCCAAGCAGCCGCUGGGCUCCGCCGCUGCUCUGGCGCCUUCUAGUGGCCAUUCUUUAAUAACUCAGAGCCUUUUCUCCUGCCUCCUGACCAAACCCAUGGCUGGACUACACUGGGUUUGUGCAUCUGACAGCCAAUUCCCUCCUACUCUCACUCUGAGAACCACCAUGUACCUUACGAGAGGGCAAGGUGUCUCUCUCAACAUCCCCCAGCUCACUCCUUCCUCCGUGUUCUACUCUAGUCAUUCACCUCCACCUGGAAAUUCAUCUGCCUGCCUUAAUACUCAUUUCAAUUCUCUGGGGGUAACUGCCAGAAAAGAGUGGCUCAGGGAGGAGAACAAAAAGGAAGUCUGUGGCAAAGUUUCAGAAACAGAUUCCAGGGAUUAAUCAGAUUGUUAUGAUCAUUAUACAACUACAGAUGUGAUAAAUUCAUUUGAGUAAAAAAAA
RNAcentral lists this long non-coding RNA (5136 nucleotides) under Sus scrofa (pig). RNAcentral's name for it is "lncRNA (ENSSSCG00030070792.1)". The record is from RNAcentral. Lineage: Eukaryota; Metazoa; Chordata; Mammalia; Artiodactyla; Suidae.